This 465-nucleotide ribosomal RNA is filed under the name Vreelandella stevensii. RNAcentral's name for it is "partial 16S ribosomal RNA". It matches the Rfam family "Bacterial small subunit ribosomal RNA", at positions 338 to 795 of the family's 1533-position model. The record is from RNAcentral. Lineage: Bacteria; Pseudomonadati; Pseudomonadota; Gammaproteobacteria; Oceanospirillales; Halomonadaceae.
CCUACGGGUGGCUGCAGUGGGGAAUAUUGGACAAUGGGGGGAACCCUGAUCCAGCCAUGCCGCGUGUGUGAAGAAGGCCCUCGGGUUGUAAAGCACUUUCAGUGAGGAAGAACGCCUGGUGGUUAAUACCCAUCAGGAAAGACAUCACUCACAGAAGAAGCACCGGCUAACUCCGUGCCAGCAGCCGCGGUAAUACGGAGGGUGCGAGCGUUAAUCGGAAUUACUGGGCGUAAAGCGCGCGUAGGUGGCUUGAUAAGCCGGUUGUGAAAGCCCCGGGCUCAACCCGGGAACGGCAUCCGGAACUGUCAAGCUAGAGUGCAGGAGAGGAAGGUAGAAUUCCCGGUGUAGCGGUGAAAUGCGUAGAGAUCGGGAGGAAUACCAGUGGCGAAGGCGGCCUUCUGGACUGACACUGACACUGAGGUGCGAAAGCGUGGGUAGCAAACAGGAUUAGAUACCCUGGUAGUC